RNAcentral lists this long non-coding RNA (18974 nucleotides) under Sorghum bicolor (sorghum). RNAcentral describes it as "long non-coding RNA (SBIC_LNC003530)". The record is from RNAcentral. Lineage: Eukaryota; Viridiplantae; Streptophyta; Magnoliopsida; Poales; Poaceae.
UCGCCAACCCCGUCCUCACCGCCCCCGUCCUCGCCGCCCCCGUCCUGGUCAUCGUCUGGGGGAAAGAGCUCCCUCGUCGACGAGCGACGUGUGCGAGACCUCGCCGAGAACUCGACCAACGGAAGCUCGUCCUCCGCCUCGUCGUCGACGCCGGUCGACAUGUAGAUCGAGGUGACCUUUCGUAGCGGUCGUCGCCGUCUACCUCCGCCUGGCAUUUUGUCCUAUACCUGCAAUGACAAAGAUUAAACCAAUUAGCACAAAUAAUAAUAAGAAUAAAAUGAAUUAGAAACAUAAUUGCAAAGUACUAAGAAGAACAAAAUGAAUUAGAAACAUAAUUGCAAAGUAAUAAUAAGAACAAUAUAGUAUUACAUGAAUUAGAAAACGAAGUCCUCAUCAUCAUUAUCACCAUUGUCAUCAUCGCUGCCACCGUCAUCAGAAUCACUACUAUCAUCAUCACUAUCAAUAUUGUCGAAACCUAAGUCCUCAUCAUUUUCAUUCUCGUCACCACCUCCAUCGUCCUCAACACCUAGUUCGCGUCGAGCCCUCCAUCGCUCAAGCAUCAUUAGGUCCUUAGCAUCUUGCACCACUUCACCAUCAUCCUCAUCGAUGUUGUUGUCUACUUCCAUGCCCAUUAGUGAAAGAAUGUCUAUCUCCAAACGCCCUUCUAGCCCCUCAGGUUGAUAGAACUCUCCGCUAUCUGCCUUCGGGUCGAAGUUGUAAUCAUCAUCGUUUGGGACAGGCGCUUUACCACGUGGCGAUACCAAUUGCACAAGGUACCAUCCCUUAAGCCUCUCGUCUUUUUGGCACGCCCACGGAAGAUAAUAAACUUGUGUGGCCUGUUGAGCCACAAUAUAGACAUCAUCUCCACUAUAGAUAGAAUCCUGUCGAAUUUCAACUUGUCCAAUGUCUUCGGCUCUUCUCGUGACAUUAGGAUCGAACCAAUGGCAUUUGAAGACGACUGGUUUUAGAGCUUUAGGGCCCGGGAACUCGAGCUCGUAUAUUUCUUCCACUAUGCCAUAAUAGUUGACACCAUCGUUGCCGGGCGUACAAACUCCUGUGCACGUGGUCUUUUGACCAGGCCGACUCUCCUCCUGGCUUCUCGUGCGAAAGCGAUAGCCAUUGACAUCAUAAACGGUGAAUGCAUUGACCCUACUACUGCAGCCGCAUGCAACUUGUUUCAAUUCAGGACUCAUUUGUCUAUCCGUGCGUGCCUGCAAGGUGAGGCCAGGUAGAGCGUUACAUUACUCGCUCCUAGGUGCAAAUUGGAAUCUCAAAGUUGGAACGAGGUAAGUUUGAUGGUACCUUUGUACGGAACCAUGAAAUAAAAUCAGGCCUGGCAUUUUUGAGGAAAUCAUCUUCUUCUUCGACAGUAGGAGCCGUAUUCCUUCGCCAGUAUUCCUUAAAAAACUCUCUAAAAAACAAGAGAUGAAGGUGGUCGGAACGAUACAUGGAGGAUAUUGACUACGUAUGAAACAAGUCCAGAACUGAGAACUUACAUUCGAUAAGGAACCACUUCUUCAAGGUUCAACAACACGUAGAGCAUGUUAGUGCGAAACUCAUGUUGUUGCAACGUCUUGGGGGUACCUGCGCUUCCCCUUCCAAGUUGCCCCGUGAAAAGGCUCAGGGUCGAUAAAUUCUCGUCCUCAUUGUAAUGAGGGAGUGGUUUCAUGUUCGGAAGGUUGUCAGUAUAGUACGCCAUUGUGAAGUUCGACACCUCCUCCACUCUUGCUGCCUCUGCCACGGAAGCCUCAAUUUUAGCUUUAUUUUUACACUUUUUUCAAAGAAUCUUUAGACACCUCUCGAUUGGAUAGCACCAACGGGCCUGCACAGGACCCCCCAGCCGUGCCUCACGUGGGAGGUGCAAGAUCAGAUGCUGGAUUGGCAGAAAGAAGUCGGGUGGAAAGAUCAUCUCCAACUUGCAAAUCAGCAGCGGUGCAAGACGCUCUAGGUCACGAAUCACUUCUCGAGAUAACUCUCUGGUACAAAGUUGACGGAAGAAAUAGCUCAACUCUGCCAGAACACGCCAAACUGGCUCGGGGAGGUAUCCACGGGUCAUCGCAGGAAGAAGUCGCUCAAUCCAUAUGUGGAAGUCAUGACUCUUCAUCCCUAACACUUUCAUAGUUGAAAGAGCAUCUAGGCCCCUAGUGAUUUCGGUGAUUAAUGACAUCAUGAUUACUAUGACUAACGUGUGUUUUGUAGAGGCAAAGUCAUAGGUAAGGUCAUGGUAUAUAGGUACUCGAUGGACAGGGACGUACAUGCCUACUUAAUAGUAGAAAUUGUUUCGGUUUUUAAAGGAUGGAUGGACAUCGUCAAGACUAGACUAGGUCUAAGUGCCAUAUGGUGAAGAAGGGCACUUAGAGUAGUUUAGGACUUUGUUUUCCUUUGACCGUACUAUUAAUAGGGGCUUUGAUCUAGUAGCUUGACUUAGGCAAGGCUUUAGGUUUAGGUGUGGUGCACACUUGGUAAACCUAGCAUUAGGCAGCUCACAGAGAGUCCUUAGAUCGAGAGGAACCAACUUCGUUUGGAGCGAUCGCGUUUCGACGAAGUUUGGGUGCCCAAAGGGGCACCGGACGCUGCACCUGACACUCCGUGAGUGCGUCCGGUGAGGUCCCUAGCCGUUAGAAUAUUGUGGUGCUUAGGGUUAGGCACCGGACGCUAGCACCGGACGCACCGGGUAGUGUCCGGUCCCUUACCCAGGGAGGUUGCAAGCCUUCCCUGAGCACCGGACGCUAGCACCGGACGCUCCGUGUAGCGUCCGGUCCCAUGCGCAGGGAGCAUGUAAAGUUUUCCCGAGCACCGGACGGUGCACCGGACGCUGGGAGUUAGCGUCCGGUGACCUGUCAGAGAAAAGUGCAGGUAACCGUUAUGAAGCACCGGACGCUCGGUGCAGUGCGUCCGGUGCAACAUAAUGUGCGUCCGGUGACCCCGUUUUCAGUGGAAAACGGUUGGCCGACCUUUGGACUUGGUGGAUAGUAUUUAUACUCCUCCACCUCGUCCAUGAGAGUUCUCUUGCCCAUUUGAACAUCAGAGAACCUUGUUGUGGAGCAAGAGAGUUGCAAGAGCCUAGAGAGGAUUGAGAUUUGAGUGUUUUCUUGAGAGAAUCCUUCUCUAGUGAGUUCCAAGAGUCAAGUGUGCAUCCACCACUCUCUAGAGCCUUGUUUGGGUCAAGUGAGAGUUCGUUGCUUGUUACUCUUGGUGAUCGCCAUCACCUAGACGGUUCGGUGGUGAUUGAAGGCACGAAGACCGCCCGGAGUUCUUGUGGGUGGCUCGUGUCAAGCUUGUGAGCGGUUUUGGGCGAUUCACCGCGACGGAGUGUCGAAGAAUCAGCCCGUAGAGAGCACUUGGUCCUUGCGCGGACCAAGGGGGAGCAAGACCCUUGCGCGGGUGCUCCAACGAGGACUAGUGGAGAGUGGCGACUCUCCGAUACCUCGGCAAAACAUCGCCGAGCACUUUCUUCCACUUCUCCUUUACUUUCUAGCAUUUACUUUGUGUUUUUACAUUCUUAGAAUUGCCUUGCUAGAAUAGGAUUGGAACUAGGUUGCAAAACUUUUAUCCGGUAGCUCUCUAAGUCACACUAGGCACAAGGGGUUGAAUUGGAGCUUAUAGGUUGCUUAAAUUUUUAGAGAAGCCCAAUUCACCCCCCUCUUGGGCAUCUUGAUCCUUUCAAUUGGUAUCGGAGCCUAGUGCUCAUUAUUUAGGCUUCACCGCCUAGAGAAAGAUGUCUAACGGGGAUGGACCGCCACCCAUGUUCGAUGGGAAUGACUUCCCGUAUUGGAAAAUACGGAUGGAGUCAUACCUUGAGGCAUGCGAUGUAAAGUGCCUAAAAGCCGCGACCGAAGGGUUUGCCCCUCCGGAAAGAGCCACCGCUCUUACUCCACAAGAGCAAGAAAACGAGAAGUGGAAUGCGAAGGCCAAAAACCACAUCUUUAGAGGUCUUUGCAAAGAGGUGUUCAACCGCGUUCGGAGCCACAAAACCGCCAAUGAACUUUGGAAGGAACUUUGUGCGCUCCAUGAGGGAACAAAGAGUGAACGCGAGGAACGCUAUCACCUAGUGAUGAACAAGCUUAAUACAUUUGAGAUGCUUCCUAAAGAAAAUGCUAAUGAAAUGUAUUCUCGCUUGAAUGUCAUUGUAGAGGAGCUAAAUGGACUUGGGCUUACACAAAUGAGUACGGCGGAUGUAGCAAGAAAGAUACUAUGUGUACUUCCCAUUGAGAAAUAUGGGCACAUAGUAACCGUGCUUCAUCAAGGCGAUCUUUCCACCGCUACACCAACCACCAUAUUGGGGAAGAUCAAUGCUCAUGAGAUGUACAUGCCCAUGAACCCUCAAGAUGGCUCCUCGUCGGCCAAGAAAGAAAAGAAGGACUUGGCUCUCAAAGCUUCUCACAAGGGCAAAGCCAAGAAGAUUGAAGUUGAGUCAUCAACUUCAAGUGAUGAUGAUGCAUCUAUUGCCCUCUUGGUGAGAAGAACCACAAAGAUGUUGAAGAAGCUCAACAAGAAUGGAGUCAACUUUGACUCCAAGAAGAAGAAGUUCUUCACAAGUAGCAAGAGGAAGCCUAUCUCCGAGAUGGAUUGCUACAAUUGUGGUGAACUUGGUCAUCUUGCUCAUCAAUGUCCAAAGCCCAAGAAGGACAAAUACAAGAAGAAGAACAAAGAGCAAGAUGACUCAAGUGAUGAUGAGAAGAAUGACAAGAAGCAAUACAAGAAGAAAGGUGGCAAGAAGAAGGAGCACUACAAGAAGAAAAAUGGCAAGGCUUACAUUGUUGGUGAUUGGCUCACCGACAUUGAGAGCUCAAGUGGUGACUCCUCCGGCAAUGAAAGUGAUGAUGAGAAGGUUGCCGCCAUCGCCAUCGAUGCUCCAUCACCAUCAUCUUCACCACCAUCUACAUCCUCUACACACCUAUGCCUUAUGGCCAAAGGUGACCGGAAGGUACAAAGUGAGGAUGAGAGUAGUGAAAGUGAUAGUGAAUAUGAAUCACCUUCUUAUGAUGAACUUGUAAAAUUGCUUAACAAGUACACAAAAGUCAUAAGAAAGACUAGAAGUGAGAACGAAAAGCUUGAACUUGAAAAUGAAACACUUCUAGCAAAGCUUAAGUCUAGUGAUGAGCUUAGAGACCAAAAUGAGAUCAUGACCACUAAGCUCAAGGAGCUCAAACUCUCUCUAAAAGAGCUCAAAGAAAAACAUGAUAAACUUGAGAGUGUUCAUGAUGAGCUCAUCACUAGAUAUAGAACAAUGAAAGAGGAACUAACAACUCUAAAAGCAAACUAUGACAACCUUGAGAUAGCUUAUGAACUCGCAAUUGAAACACAUGUUGCUACUAACAAUGUUGCUAAGCUUGAUGUAGCCAUAUCUUGUGAUGACUUACUUGUGGAGAGCACAAGCAAAUGUGUUGAUUGCAAGGGCAAGAAAGUGGUAGUGGCCGAGAGUUAUGAGGACACUAUCAAGCUCAAGGAUGAAAUUGUCAUGCUCAAGAAAGAGUUGCAAGACCAAGCCAAGCACAAGACCAUUGUGAUUGAGUCACUUGAUCAAGACAAGAAACUUGCAUAUGAGAACAAGUUACUCAAAGAAGAAAAUCAAUAUCUCAAGCUUGGUUUGAUGUAUGACAAGCAAGAAGAAGAUGAGACAUUCAUCUUGGAUGAGUUAGCUAGCAACAAUGACCCAAUCAUCAAGAAGCUAACUCAAGAGAACAACAAGCUCAAGAAAGAGAAGGAACACCUAACCAUGGGGUUAGCAAAGUUCACAAAGGGAAAGGACCUUCAAAGUGAGCUUUUCAUGAACACCGUCAUGAAGAUGGACAAGAGUGGAAUUGGCUACAAGGCACAUCAAACAAAGCUCAUCAAGUCACUAGCCACUCAUGAUCAAUCAAGCAAGCUAAAACCAAAGAGAUGCUUUGAGUGUGGUCAAGAAGGACACUUUGCUCAUGAGUGUAAGGCACCACUACCACCACCCUUGCCCAAGCAUGCAAGACCAUUUGCCUUCAAUGCUCACUACAUUGUAAGGAAAGACAAGAGUGGCAAGGUCAAGGUUAGCUUCAUGGGGCCGCCCAACAAGCAAAGGCCAAAGAAGAUUUGGGUGCCAAAGCAACUAGUAGAGAAGGUCAAGGGCCCUAAGCAAAUGUGGGUCCCUAAAUCUCAAGCUUGAUCUCUUGUGUGUAGGUGAACUACAAGACCGGUGGAUCACAUUGGGUAAUUGAUAUUGGUUGCACUCAACAUAUGACCGGAGAUCCCCGGAUGUUCACCUCUCUUGAUGAAGAUGUUGACAACCAAGAGAAGAUCACAUUUGGUGACAAUUCAAAAGGCAAGGUCAAGGGACUAGGAAAGGUUGCUAUAUCAAAUGACAACUCCAUCACCAAUGUACUUUAUGUGCAAUCAUUGAGUUUCAACUUGCUCUCGGUUGGACAACUUUGUGAUCUUGGAUUUGAAUGCCUAUUCAAGAAGAAAGAAGUAAUUGUGACCAAGGAAGAUGACAAUGAAGUGAUAUUCAAAGGCUUCCGGCACAACAACUUAUAUGUAGUUGAUUUCUCAUCCGAUGAAGUUGAUGUCAAGACUUGCUUAUUCACCAAGACUUCACUUGGGUGGUUGUGGCAUAGAAGGUUAGCACAUGUUGGAAUGGGUACACUCAAGAAGUUAAUGAAGAAAGAAUUGAUUAGAGGCUUGAAGGAUGUGACUUUUGAAAAAGACAAACUUUGUAGUGCAUGUCAAGCGGGCAAACAAGUUGCAAAUACACAUCCAAUCAAAGGCCUAUCUCUCUACUUCAAGAGUGCUUGAGCUACUUCACAUGGAUUUAUUUGGUCCAACCACAUAUGCUAGUCUUAGAGGCAACAAAUAUUGCUUGGUCAUAGUUGAUGACUUCUCCCGGUACACUUGGACAUUCUUCUUGCAAGACAAAGCCGAAGUUGCAUCAAUAUUCAAGAAAUUUGCAAAGAAUGCCCAAAAUCAAUUUGAUGUGAAGAUUAAAAAAAUUAGAAGUGACAAUGGCAAAGAAUUUGACAACACCAACAUUGAAGAGUAUUGUGAUGAAGUGGAAAUCAAACAUGAGUUCUCCUCAACAUACACACCACAACAAAAUGGGGUUGUAGAAAGAAAGAACCGGACAUUGAUUACCUUGGCAAGAACAAUGCUAGAUGAGUACAACACUUCGGAGAAGAUGUGGGCCGAGGCAAUCAACACCGCAUGCUAUGCUUCAAACCGGCUCUUUCCUCACAAGUUCCUAGAGAAGACACCAUAUGAGUUGAUCAAUGGGAAGAAGCCCGAUGUCUCAUUCUUUAGAGUGUUUGGAUGCAAAUGCUACAUCUACAAGAAGCGCCAACACUUUGGAAAAUUCCAAAGAAGAUGUGACAUUGGCUAUUUGGUUGGCUAUUCAUCAAAGUCCAAGGCAUAUAGGGUCUUUAACCAUGCCACAAACAUGGUUGAAGAAACAUUUGAUGUUGAAUUUGAUGAAACUAAUGGCUCCCAAGGAGCAAGUGAUAACCUUGAUGAUGUGGGUGGUGAACCAUUGAGGGAUGCCAUGAAGAACAUGCCGGUGGGAGACAUCAAGCCUAAAGAAGAUGAUGAUGAUGCGCAAGUCACUGAGCCACCAUCCACCUCACAAGGUCCACAAGAUGAAGACAAGGAUGUGAGAGAUGCCCAUGAAGACACUCAAGUCACUCAUGAGCAAGCGGUGGCACAAGCACAAGAUGUUGAUGCUCCCCAACCAACCCCUCAAGUGGCACCAAGAAGAACAUCACAUCUCCUCCAAGAUCACUCUCAAGAUCUCAUCAUCGGGAGUCCAUCACGUGGUGUAACUACUCGUUCUAGACAUGCUUUAUUUAUUGAACAUCACGCUUUUGUGUCUCUUGAAGAUGAACCAAAGACUAUAGAGGAAGCUCUUCAUGAUGCGGAUUGGAUCAUGGCCAUGCAAGAGGAGUUGAACAACUUCUCUCGCAACCAAGUAUGGACACUUGAAGAGCGACCCAAAGAUGCAAGAGUGAUUGGAACAAAGUGGGUCUUCCGGAACAAGAAGGAUGAUCAAGGCAAAGUGGUGCGCAACAAGGCAAGACUUGUGGCAAAAGGUUUUUCACAAGUGGAAGGUCUUCACUUUGGUGAAACCUUUGCACCAGUGGCAAGACUUGAAGCAAUCCGUAUCCUACUUGCAUAUGCAUCUAGUCAUAAUAUCAAGUUAUUUCAAAUGGAUGUGAAAAGUGCCUUUUUAAAUGGUUAUAUUAAUGAGCUUGUCUAUGUUGAGCAACCCCCCGGUUUUGAAGACCCCAUGUACCCCAAGCAUGUCUACCGGUUGUCCAAGGCUCUCUAUGGUCUCAAGCAAGCUCCUAGAGCUUGGUAUGAGAGGCUUAGGGAUUUCCUCAUUGAGAUGGGCUUCAAGAUUGGGAAAGUUGACACAACACUCUUCACCAAGAAAAUAAAUGGGGAAAUCUUCAUUUGCCAAGUUUAUGUUGAUGAUAUUAUCUUUGGUUCUACUAAUGAAGAUUUUUGCAAGGAAUUUGGUGAUUUGAUAUCCAAGGAGUUUGAGAUGUCCAUGAUUGGCGAGCUAUCCUUCUUCCUAGGAUUUCAAGUCAAGCAAAUGAAGGAAGGAGUCUUUAUCUCUCAAGAGAAGUACACUCAAGAUCUUCUCAAGAGGUUCAAGAUGAUGGAUUGCAAGCCAAUCAAGACUCCCAUGGCAUCAAUGGGCAUCUCGACUUGGAUGAGGGAGGUAACCCAAUUGACAAGACUCUCUAUCGCUCCAUGAUAGGAAGUCUACUCUACCUCACCGCAUCUAGGCCCGAUAUAAUGUUUAGUGUGUGUAUGUGUGCAAGAUAUCAAGCAAUGCCUAUGGAAUCUCACUUGAUUGCGGUCAAGAGAAUUCUUAGGUACCUAAAAUACACACCUUGCCUAGGCUUGUGGUAUCCCAAAGGUGCAAGAUUACAACUUGUAGGCUAUUCCGAUUCGGAUUAUGCCGGGUGCCGGAUUGAUAGAAAAAGGACAUCCGGAGGGUGCCACUUCCUAGGUAGAUCACUUGUCUCUUGGAUGUCAAAGAAACAAAAUAGUGUUGCCUUGUCAACGGCCGAGGCGGAAUACAUAGCCGCCGGUGCUUGUUGUGCACAAAUACUCUACAUGAAACAAACUUUGCUAGACUAUGAAGUAGUACUAGACAAAGUACCUUUGUUGUGUGACAACGAAAGUGCCGUAAACUUGCAAACAACCCGGUUCAACACACCCGCACAAAACAUAUUGACAUCCGCCACCACUUCCUUAGGGAUCAUGUUGCUAAAGGUGAUAUAUCCUUAGAGAAUGUGGGAACGGAAAAUCAAUUGGCGGAUAUCUUCACAAAACCCCUAGAUGAAGCUAGGUUUUGUUUGUUGAGAAAUGAACUUAAUGUGCUUGACCUAUCCAACUUCACUAAAAGAUAAAAGUUGUGUGUUGAAUCUUGUAAAUAACUUUUGCUUUGCAUAUCAUGCAUACUAAAACUAAAAAUACAACUUGCAUGUAGGGCUUGUCUAAUAUGGUUAAGAUAACCCCCUGAGUGUGUGAAAAAGCUUAACCUUGGAUCAAACUUGACAAGCAUUAGUUUACUUUCAAGUGUUGCAUUACAACUCAUAUCAUAUGCAUGCUUGUUAAUUGACCAUUUCUUUUCGGAUAUUCGUUGAGCAUCCGCUGUGUUCGUCCAUAGAUAGGGGGAGCAUUCAAAGCUCAUUAUGAUUCAAACCCCUAGCUUUAUGGCCAUACGAUGCUCCUUGGUGAUUUUCUCGAACUAUCUUUAUUAAAAAAACUACUAAGCCUACGACUAAAUAUUUGUGAAAAUUUGAGGGUUUGAGAGAAGUCACUCAUACCAGUUCCAUUUGGUGUUUUAUUGUGUGCUUUUGGAAAUGGAACUUGGUUGGGUCAAAGUCGGACGUGGUGCUUAGUUGAAAAGUGCUCAGAGGAGCACCGGACGAUGCACCGGACGCUGCCUCUGUGCAUCCGGUGCGGUGAGUGUGCCAGACUGCACUCACCGGACACAGGAACAGUAUCCCUGCAGCGUCCUGUGCGGUGCGUCCGGUGCUCACCAGGCGUAACCCGAAGCACCGGACGCUAAAGCCAGCGUCCGGUGCCCAUCGUCCGGUGCAAUGCCAAAAUGCAAACCUCUCUGCGCAUGAGUCCGAUGGUCACCGGACGCGUCCGGUGCCACAUAAAGAGCGUCCGGUGAACCCGCGGCGGGCGCAUAAAGCCCGCGCCCAGAGGGUUUCGCGGGCGGUUUUCUUUCUUCUCUCCCGAUUCUCGCCGAGCUGCCCGUGCCCUAGCCCGCAGGAACCGCCGCCGACCGCCGAGAUUCCUCCUCCGGCGAUCCCGUGCCAUCUUCCCUGCACCAGAUCUGCCCAGGGAUCUCUCCCCCAUCCUUCUCCUCACGCGCAGAUCCAUCUCGAGGGGAUUUGAGGGAUUGGGUGAGUUUCUCGAUUGCUUGCCCUUAAGGUGUUUGAGUUUUUCGUUUCAUUGGAUUAGAAAAGGGUUCUUAACCUCGAUCUUCCUCGUUAACCCUGUGCAGCACCAUAAGGGAAGGGCUCGUGGUUUCCGGUGGUUGUCAAUCGAAAGUUUUCAUCCGGAACACGACUCGUCCGUGGAUCGUAAGCCGUUCGCGUGCGUAUCUUAUCUAUUCUUACGAUCUAUAGGAUUGUCUCAUCUCUAGUCGAUUUGUUUUCUUAUAUAUAUCCUAUCUUGUCGAUUCCCUGCAGCGCGUUAAUCUCCAUUGUCAGUCGGUUGUUUGUCGGACGCUUGUUUCGCAAUGGCUCGUACCAAGAACGUCAGUGGUCCGACAGCUGGCUCAGGAGGUUCCCCAGGAGGCGAUGGUGGAGGUGAUCCUCCUCGUCGCCUAUCAGCGGCAGAGAAAGGCAAGGGAAAGAAGCUGGCCACCAAGAAGCGCAAGGCCAGUGACAGAGAUGCAGAGGUCGUAGAGGCAGUGGCAGCACCAGCAGAGGCCGCAGAGAGAGGUGGUCAAGCAGGUGCUUUGAGGAUUGGGGAUGAUCUUACGCCGCGACAGAGGCGUGCAGUGCUUGAGGCAGAGGCAUUCCACGGAUCCCCUCCAGGCACCGUGACGAUUGGAGGACAGAGGAUUAGGCUUGUGGUCAGGGAUCCAGCUCAGGAGGAUCCAGACACUGAGACAGAGACCCAGGCAGAGGGUCCAGCACAGGAGCAGGAGCAGCAGCCGCCACUCAGGAGGUCGACUCGUGCUCGUACCCAGGCCGUUCCUCGGACCGGCACGCCGGGUCAGUCCACUUCCACAGCUCGUGCCACACCAGCGAGAGGCACACCAGCUUCACGCCCGAGGCCAGUCAGGAUCCACAGGGAUCUCUCUCUUGUGUCAGCCAGAGAGAUCCAGCAGCUGAGGUUCGUUCCGUUUCCCACCUGGUUUCCAGCUGCCAGGGAUCCUAGAGCCGGUGCCAGAUUCUACACAGUCGUCUAGGAGGACAUCUACGAGGCACUGGUUCGCUCUCAGGCUCAGUUCAGGGAGCACAGAGUGAUCGACCUGGAGAUACUGGGGAACGUGGUUGGAGCAGAUAUUCGUCAGUACUUUACCUACCUCCACGGACUUCCAGAGUUACUAGCACUCCCCGGCACUUAUUGUGAGCAGUGGGUCAGAGAGUUCUAUGCGUCAGUGUGGGUUUCUCCAGAUCACAGUUACAUCCACUACGCACUGGCAGGCACGGACUACAGAGUGACAGCUCAGAGGGCUAGAGAGGUGCUUCGACUGCGAGCCUCUCCCACCAGGAUUCACCAGCUGUGCUACGGGAACGUGGAUCCCCCUCGUCGUCCUCACGGUGGUGAGAUCCCACCGGUUGACUUCGUGGCUCCCUGUUUCCGUGCACCUUUUGGAGAGGGCUCCAGCAGGACAGUGGCAGAUUUGACACGCCUAGCCAGGAUCCUCGACUUUGUGUUGAGGAAGACUCUUCUCCCCAGGACAGGCUACAGAGACGGCUUCACUCGUAUGCAGCAGUGGCUCGUCGCUCACCUUAUCUCCCAGACGCAGUUUGAUUUGUGGGAUCUGAUCGUCUCAGAGAUAGAGGACACCAUCUCAGAGAGCUUCAGGGGACGGCCUCAGUUGCCGUAUGCACAUUGGAUCACUCUGCUUAUUCUUCGUGCUAGGCCACUGCCCCUGCCAGCUCACUUGCAGAGGGAGUUGACAGAGUCCGACACCGUCUUCCCCCACUACGACCCCCGGCAGAUGUUGAGAGCGCACCACGACCUUCGCGGUGCACCUCCUCCUCGUGCUCCACGUGGACCGGUGCCCCCACCUUCUCCUAGGGGCACCCGCAGUACAGCAGCAGUUGCAGAGACAGAGAAGCAGCAGGAUAUAGCUAUUGGCGCGUUUGCAGAUGCAGAGGCAGAGGGCGAGUUUGACUUCGCCUCAGACAGCUCAGAUGAUGACUAUCAGCCGCCAGUGACAGAUCUCCCUCCCAGAGCUCACGACCACGAGGCAGGCGGUUCUUCGAGUACUUCAGACCCCGCCCUGCUUGCUAUCUUAGAGGGGAUGAGGGCAGAUCUGCGCCGUGCAGCUGAGGAGCAGGCGAGGCGAGACAGGGAUCAGGCUGCCAUCAAUGCAGCCAUGCAGGCCAGGCAGGAUGAGCUCCAGCGUCAGCUUCUUACCUUUUAGGAGCAGCAGCUUGCUUUCCAGGCUUAGCAGACAGCGAUGAUGGCCACUCUUAUGGCCGCCUCAGGGAUUUAGCUACCGCAGAUUCAGCUCCCAGGCACGUCGACAGUCAGGCCGCCUACCCCAGUGCCUCAGACUCAGAGCCCGUCUCAGCAGCCGCUCCAGCUACCAGCUCAGAGUCUGCCGUUCUCGACGCCACAGCACCAAGUCUCUCAGGGUGCUAUCUCUUCAGGCUUUGAGCAGGUACCUCAGUUCACUCCUCUCCGCUCAGGCUUCACUCCUCAGUCAGCGUCAGCGUCACAGCUUGUGUGGGAUUCGCAGACAGAUCCGCACCUCAGCUUCACCUACAGUGCUCUGACUGGUGACCCUACGCCUCCUCCUCUGCAGGCUCCUGCAGUCUUUACGGCGCCAGUUACCACUACAGAGCUUCUGUCGUCGUCCGUAGCGUCGUCCGAGCAGCUUGCACCGUCUACUACCGUAGCAGAGACGACAGCUACAGCGACCGAGUCCGUGCCAGCUUCGUCAGCCGGUCUUGAGCAGCCAGCACAGCCUGUGACAGCGCCAGAGCAGACCCGAACCGCGUCACCAGCUCCUGCAGCUUCAGAGGGUCACUCCACCUCCUCCGCCUUGACGGCCGAGAUGCAGCUCGCUUCGUGGCCGUGCCGAGGGACUCCACUGCUCCACCGACUUCUUAGGUUUUUGGCGCUUGAUGCCAAAGGGGGAGAGAGUUCGUAGUAUGAGAGUUAGGAGUUAGGGGGAGCUAGAGAGGGUUUAGGAGUCUUCUUUUGAGGAGUCUAUUCUUUUGAGAUACCCUUUUUUAUGUGUGCUACUUUAUCAUGCAUCACGUUUACUUUUAUGCAUUGCACUUGUGUGAGAUACUAUGGUUGUGAGACAUGACUUGUGGUUAUUGUGAUAUCUUAAUGUCAUGUGUUUUGGCUCAUAUUACCCUUUGCUUCCGUGUUUUACUCCGUUGUUUCUAUGAGCCUUCUGUGUUUAUCCUGUUGUAUUUCACUCACAUAUUUGGAUGCAGGGUAUUGGACUUGGUUGAUAUAAGCAUGCCUAAUCCUUUCUGCUCUUAUUGUAUCAUGCUUAUUGAAACCAAGUCUCUUUAAAAACCUCAACUCUUUUCAUACUCGAGGUUGUCAUCAAUCACCAAAAAGGGGGAGAUUGAAAGAGCAUCUAGGCCCCUAGUGAUUUCGGUGAUUAAUGACAUCAUGAUUACUAUGACUAACGUGUGUUUUGCAGAGGCAAAGUCAUAGGUUAGGUCAUGGUAUAUAGGUACUCGAUGGACAGGGACGUACAUGCCUACUUAAUAGUAGAAAACGUUUCGGUUUUUAAAGGAUGGAUGGACAUCGUCAAGACUAUACUAGGUCCAAGUGCCAUAUGGUGAAGAAGGGCACUUAGAGUAGUUUAGGACUUUAUUUUCCUUUGACCGUACUAUUAAGAGGGGCUUUGAUCUAGUAGCUUGACUUAGGCAAGGCUUUAGGUUUAGGUGUGGUGCACACUUGGUAAACCUAGCACUAGGCAGCUCAGAGAGAGUCCUUAGAUCGAGAGGAACCAACUUCGUUUUGGAGCGAUCGCGUUUCGACGAAGUUUGGGUGCCCAAAGAGGCACCGGACACUGUACCGGACACUCCGUGAGUGCGUCCGGUGAGGUCCCUAGCCGUUAGAGUAGUGUGGUGCUUAGGGUUAGGCACCGGACGCUAGCACCGGACGCACCGGGUAGUGUCCGGUCCCUUACCCAGGGAGGUUGCAAGCCUUCCCUGAGCACCGGACGCUCCGUGUAGCGUCCGGUCCCAUGCGCAGGGAGCAUGUAAAGUUUUCCCGAGCACCGGACGGUGCACCGGACGCUGGGAGUUAGCGUCCGGUGACCUGUCAGAGAAAAGUGCAGGUAGCCGUUAUGAAGCACCGGACGCUCGGUGCAGUGCGUCCGGUGCAACAUAAUGUGCGUCCGGUGACCCCGUUUUCAAUGGAAAACGGUUGGCCGACCUUUGGACUUGGUGGAUAGUAUUUAUACUCCUCCACCUCGUCCAUGAGAGUUCUCUUGCCCAUUUGAACAUCAGAGAACCUUGUUGUGGAGCAAGAGAGUUGCAAGAGCCUAGAGAGGAUUGAGAUUUGAGUGUUUUCUUGAGAGAAUCCUUCUCUAGUGAGUUCCAAGAGUCAAGUGUGCAUCCACCACUCUCUAGAGCCUUGUUUGGGUCAAGUGAGAGUUCGUUGCUUGUUACUCUUGGUGAUCGCCAUCACCUAGACGGUUCGGUGGUGAUUGAAGGCACGAAGACCGCCCGGAGUUCUUGUGGGUGGCUCGUGUCAAGCUUGUGAGCGGUUUUGGGCGAUUCACCGCGAUGGAGUGUCGAAGAAUCAGCCCGUAGAGAGCACUUGGUCCUUGUGCGGACCAAGGGGGAGCAAGACCCUUGCGCGGGUGCUCCAACGAGGACUAGUGGAGAGUGGCGACUCUCCGAUACCUCGGCAAAACAUCGCCGAGCACUUUCUUCCACUACUCCUUUACUUUCUAGCAUUUACUUUGUGUUUUUACAUUCUUAGAAUUGCCUUGCUAGAAUAGGAUUGGAACUAGGUUGCAAAACUUUUAUCCGGUAGCUCUCUAAGUCACACUAGGCACAAGGGGUUGAAUUGGAGCUUAUAGGUUGCUUAAAUUUUUAGAGAAGCCCAAUUCACCCCCCCUCUUGAGCAUCUUGAUCCUUUCAAUAGUAUUAAGGUUCACUCCCCUACUCAGAUUCGCCGCAUACCCAUCAGGAAAUAGUAACAUCUUCAUCCACUCCAGCACUUCCUUCUUAUCGCUCCUUUUCAGGAUGUAAUCGGCUGGCCCUCUUCUCCAAUUCUUGCCCAGCUUAGGGGUCUUCAUCACUAGCUUUGGUCUAUCGCAGAUCGCCUCCAUGUCAAGUCUAGCCUUAACGUUGUCCUUUGACUUCUAUUUUAUGUCCAUGAGGGUUCCCCAAAGUGCCUCGGCGAUAUUCUUUUCUGUGUGCAUCACAUCGAUGUUGUGUGGAAGCAAAAGGUCCUUGAAGUAGGGGAGCCUAGUCAACCCCGAUAUAUGGGUCCACAUGUGUUCCUGACCGUACCCAAUAAAACCAUCAGUGUCUUUGUCGAUUUUGAGAGCCUGUAACUCGGCAAGGACCUCGGCACAGCUCUUAAUCUCAGGAAUAGGGUCGGUGACUUCAACACCUUUAGUGAAGUGUUGGGUGUCUCGUCUGAAUUCAUGGUUCUCAGGCAGGAAUUGACGGUGUUUGUCAAACGAAGAGUACUUGCCACCCAUCUUCAGCCAGGUGAACAUCACAGAUUCCAUACAUACUAGGCAAGGGAACUUCCCGUGAACACACCACCCACAGAAUAUGCCAUACGCUAGGAAGUCAUGCAUUGAAUACUGAUACCACACAUGCAUUGUCAAGUUCUUUGUAGCUCGGUCAUAUGUCAGUACCCCCUUUUCCCAAGCAUGUUCCAGUUCAUCCCACAGUGGUUGCAUGAACACACCCAUAUUCUUGCCCGGGUGUCCAGGUAUUAUCAGUGACAAUAACACGUUCUUCGGUUCAAACAUGACGCCAGGGGGAAGAUUGAGGGGGAUCACAAAUACGGGCCAACAAGUGUACGGAGCCGCAAGUGUUCCAUACGGGUUGAACCCAUCUGUUGCUAUGGCUACACGUACAUUUCGAGCGUCCUUAGCUUUGUCAGGAUACUGCAUAUUGAAGUACUGCCAUGCCUCAGCAUCCGAUGGGUGCACCAUCUUGUCACUGUAUCUUUUGCCAUCCUUGUGCCAUGUCAUCUGCUUCGCGGACUCCUCUGUCAUGAACAUCCGUUGGAGCCUCGGGGUGAGUGGAAGGUACCGGACGACCAUCUCGGGGAUCUUAGACUCCACCUUCUUGCCAUCACCACCAUCUACCUCCACAUACCUCGAGGCCUUGCACUUUGGACAGUGCGUUGCAACCUUCAGAUCUUCUCCCCUAAAUAGGACGCACCCAUUAGGACAAGCAUGGAUCGAUUCAUACGACAUCUUUAGUGCACGGAGGAGCUUCACUGACUCGUACGUGUUCUUCGGCAGCGUGUGAUCCUUCGGAAGCAUUGUGCCCAAAACUGUCAAAAUGAGAUUGAAGCCGUCUCGACUCAGGCUCAACUGCGACUUCAACCCUAGAAGGCGACCAACGGCAUCCAGUUGCGACAUUGUUGUCUUCUCGUGAAGAGGCUUCUGUGCCGAAGACAUCAUUUCAUAGAAAGCCUUUGCGGUUUCCUCUGGAUCCUCCUCCAUCAAUCCUUCAUUGCCAUGUGCCUCAUUAUAGUCUACCACCAUGUCGGCCACCCCAGCAUCUCCAUCAUACUCCUCGAGGCGUGCUCUUACCUCCUCCUCUCUAAUACGUGUUUUUGCUUCACCAUGGAAGAUCCACCUCUUGUAGUUUUCCACAAGUCCGUACUUGAAAAGAUCUUUGUAGACCUCCCUCUGUACUUUUCUUUUAUGGUUCUUACACUCUUUGCAGGGACACCACGUCCGAUCCGACCCGUGAGCAUCUGGUCCAAAUGCUUGCUCCAGGAAAUUAUUGGUCCCCCUAAUCCAUUCAUCGCUCUUCCUCUUAGUUGUCCAGCCAGCGUACAUCCACUCACGGUCAUCCAUCCUCUAUUAUGCGACAAUGUAAGCAAGUAAUAAAACCAGCAUUUACAUCUACAAGGCGUUCCUACCAUCUAAUAGGUGAAAGAUAGGUCCUAAUCCCACCCUAGGAUGCGUAGAUGAGGUUAGCUUCCAUGCUCCGCUCCCGUCCGAGACGGAAUUUUGGCAGCACCUCCCCGCUGUUCUCCCGAUACACGUCCCGGUGGGGAGAGUGUGUAUCCGGAGAACAACGGAAAGGUGCGGCCGAAACUCCGACUCGAACAAGAGCAGAACAUGGAAGCUAACCCAUCUACGCAUCCGCAGGCUGUCCAAAAAACGUGGACAAUCCGAAAGAGAUACUGUCGCGGAUAUGCACUGAUCAGCAUACCAACGACCAUAUAUCCCUUUCGGACGGGAGACACCUAACUUGGCUGCGUAAUCUAUAACUACUAUAAGGAUGAGAGGUGAAUUAUACCUAGGAUAGCGACACAAAGGCGAGUAGCAGGGCGAUGGAGAGUCGACGCGGUGUAGGAAGACCCACAGCACCCACGAACACGAUCGGAGUCACCAAGUACCUCCCACAGGUGAUCCUACAAAAAGGACAAAAAAAGGUUAGUAUCCACUCAAAAUUUCGGCAGCACCUCCCCUAAACGGGGAGGUUCCAAAACCUGCAAAAAACAAUGGCGCAAAGGCCGAUAACCACAACGGCACGAAGGCCAAUAACCAUAGUGGCACGAAGGCCGACAUCACAAUGGCACGAAGGCCAACAAUUAGAAGGAUUAAUUACCACACCUGCUCAAAUGCAACAUGGAUAGAUAAACUUUUUUUAGAGAGCUUGUCAUACUUUAUUAUUAUUAUUAUUACAGUAUAAACAGCUGCUAAUUCAAACUUUACUGGUUUUGCUAGGAUUCUUGCAUUUUAAUACGUACAAAACACAGCAUAAACUAGUACAUUAGCAUUAUCAUUAGACUGAUGCAGCAAACGAGCUCGGUAGCAAGCCCCCAGAACUAUGGAGUAGCAAACUGUAUAUUGUAUUAUUGUGUUGUUCAGUAUGUUAUCCACACUAUGAGUUCUAAUGCCCUAGUACUGAAGGUUUUAUACCAGUGUAGUUAUGGUGCUAUUUUCAGUAAGCCAAAGCCAGGAAGACCGCCACAGUCUUAAAAAAUUAAGAUGUCAAGAAGAGAAGCUUUGAGUGCGCCAUAUCAUGCUUUCAGUCUUUUUUGUUAUAACAAAGCUUCACUCUAGACAUGAAUUUCUUUCUAACCAAACCGAUGGCAGCAAACUGACCAAACCGAUGGCAUGUUGUUUGCAGGCCGUGGAUGCCGCCUUCAACCACGAUCUGGAAGUCAUCCAAGACCGGGAACAGGCACAACGGGUUUUGACUGAGCCCAGGAGAUUGAUUUGACCAACACAUCGAAGCGAGACGGGUCACGGGCGUGCUGUGCCUCCGACGAAUCUCCAUGGACGGAGCCACGGCUUCCCCACCCGCGUCCCAAACCAAUCCCAAAUCGAGAAGGGCGAGUUCGAAUUCAACCAGGGUCGGCUGUCGUCGGAGCGGCGGUUGCGCUAUGGAAGCCGCCCCAAGAGCGUCGGAGUGGCAGCGCCGCGCCGCGCCGAGGCCUCUGACGACGUCGGCGAAGGAGAUCCGUCCGCCAGCACGUCCGGAGCGGCCGGGGCAGGGGCGUCCGCACACGUCCGGGGCACCUAGCUUCACGCGGCGUCCGCACACGUCCGGAGCGGCCGGGGCAGGGGCCGGAGCAGCCGGGGCCGGGGCGCCGGGGCCGGAGCAGCCGGG